CGGACGGGUGAGUAACACGUGGGUAACCUACCUAUAAGACUGGGACAACUUCGGGAAACCGGAGCUAAUACCGGAUAAGAUAUCGAACCGCAUGGUUCGAUAGUGAAAGAUGGUUUUGCUAUCACUUAUAGAUGGACCCGCGCCGUAUUAGCUAGUUGGUGAGGUAACGGCUCACCAAGGCAACGAUACGUAGCCGACCUGAGAGGGUGAUCGGCCACACUGGAACUGAGACACGGUCCAGACUCCUACGGGAGGCAGCAGCU
RNAcentral lists this ribosomal RNA (263 nucleotides) under uncultured Staphylococcus sp. Its description in RNAcentral is "partial 16S ribosomal RNA". It matches the Rfam family "Bacterial small subunit ribosomal RNA", at positions 99 to 355 of the family's 1533-position model. Lineage: Bacteria; Bacillati; Bacillota; Bacilli; Caryophanales; Staphylococcaceae. The record is from RNAcentral.